Molecule: small nuclear RNA, 116 nt
Filed under: Suricata suricatta (meerkat)
Lineage: Eukaryota; Metazoa; Chordata; Mammalia; Carnivora; Herpestidae
Source: RNAcentral
GUGCUCGCUUCGGCAAGUAUAGUGCACAAAUACCAAAACUGGAAUGGUAAAGAGAAGAUUAGCAUGGCCCCUGUGCAUGGAUGACACUCAAAUUUAUGGAGGCCUGAGAAUCAGCC